RNAcentral lists this ribosomal RNA (392 nucleotides) under uncultured bacterium. RNAcentral's name for it is "partial 16S ribosomal RNA". It matches the Rfam family "Bacterial small subunit ribosomal RNA", at positions 523 to 918 of the family's 1533-position model. The record is from RNAcentral.
AUACGUAGGUGGCAAGCGUUAUCCGGAAUUAUUGGGCGUAAAGAGGGAGCAGGCGGCAGCAAGGGUCUGUGGUGAAAGCCUGAAGCUUAACUUCAGUAAGCCAUAGAAACCAGGCAGCUAGAGCGCAGGAGAGGAUCGUGGAAUUCAAUGUGUAGCGGGGAAAUGCGUAGAUAUAUGGAGGUACACCAGUGGAGAAGGCGACGAUCUGGCCUGCAACUGACGCUCAGUCCCGAAAGCGUGGGGAGCAAAUAGGAUUAGAUACCCUAUUAGUCCACGCCGUAAACGAUGAGUACUAAGUGUUGGAUGUCAAAGUUCAGUGCUGCAGUUAACGCAAUAAGUACUCCGCCUGAGUAGUACGUUCGCAAGAAUGAAACUCAAAUGAAUUGGCGGGG